This 3028-nucleotide ribosomal RNA is filed under the name Salmonella enterica subsp. enterica serovar Thompson. RNAcentral's name for it is "23S ribosomal RNA". It matches the Rfam family "Bacterial large subunit ribosomal RNA". The record is from RNAcentral. Lineage: Bacteria; Pseudomonadati; Pseudomonadota; Gammaproteobacteria; Enterobacterales; Enterobacteriaceae.
GGGUUGUGAGGUUAAGCGACUAAGCGUACACGGUGGAUGCCCUGGCAGUCAGAGGCGAUGAAGGGCGUGCUAAUCUGCGAUAAGCGCCGGUAAGGUGAUAUGAACCGUUAUAACCGGCGAUACCCGAAUGGGGAAACCCAGUGUGACUCGUCACACUAUCAUUAACUGAAUCCAUAGGUUAAUGAGGCGAACCGGGGGAACUGAAACAUCUAAGUACCCCGAGGAAAAGAAAUCAACCGAGAUUCCCCCAGUAGCGGCGAGCGAACGGGGAGGAGCCCAGAGCCUGAAUCAGCAUGUGUGUUAGUGGAAGCGUCUGGAAAGGCGCGCGAUACAGGGUGACAGCCCCGUACACAAAAGCGCAUGUGUUGUGAGCUCGAUGAGUAGGGCGGGACACGUGGUAUCCUGUCUGAAUAUGGGGGGACCAUCCUCCAAGGCUAAAUACUCCUGACUGACCGAUAGUGAACCAGUACCGUGAGGGAAAGGCGAAAAGAACCCCGGCGAGGGGAGUGAAAAAGAACCUGAAACCGUGUACGUACAAGCAGUGGGAGCCCCACCACUAAGCCAGUGGUGAACUCCACAUACGCAUCCUUUGCUGAGGAUACGGUUAACGGAGCGAAAGCGACGUUCAACCGCAAAAGAAGCAGAGGGGGCUUAGUGGUGGGGUGACUGCGUACCUUUUGUAUAAUGGGUCAGCGACUUAUAUUCUGUAGCAAGGUUAACCGUAUAGGGGAGCCGUAGGGAAACCGAGUCUUAACCGGGCGUUAAGUUGCAGGGUAUAGACCCGAAACCCGGUGAUCUAGCCAUGGGCAGGUUGAAGGUUGGGUAACACUAACUGGAGGACCGAACCGACUAAUGUUGAAAAAUUAGCGGAUGACCUGUGGCUGGGGGUGAAAGGCCAAUCAAACCGGGAGAUAGCUGGUUCUCCCCGAAAGCUAUUUAGGUAGCGCCUCGUGAAUUCAUCUCCGGGGGUAGAGCACUGUUUCGGCUAGGGGGCCAUCCCGGCUUACCAACCCGAUGCAAACUGCGAAUACCGGAGAAUGUUAUCACGGGAGACACACGGCGGGUGCUAACGUCCGUCGUGAAGAGGGAAACAACCCAGACCGCCAGCUAAGGUCCCAAAGUCAUGGUUAAGUGGGAAACGAUGUGGGAAGGCCCAGACAGCCAGGAUGUUGGCUUAGAAGCAGCCAUCAUUUAAAGAAAGCGUAAUAGCUCACUGGUCGAGUCGGCCUGCGCGGAAGAUGUAACGGGGCUAAACCAUGCACCGAAGCUGCGGCAGCGACACUCAGGUGUUGUUGGGUAGGGGAGCGUUCUGUAAGCCUGUGAAGGUGUGUCGUGAGGCAUGCUGGAGGUAUCAGAAGUGCGAAUGCUGACAUAAGUAACGAUAAAGCGGGUGAAAAGCCCGCUCGCCGGAAGACCAAGGGUUCCUGUCCAACGUUAAUCGGGGCAGGGUGAGUCGAACCCUAAGGCGAGGCCGAAAGGCGUAGUCGAUGGGAAACGGGUUAAUAUUCCCGUACUUGGUGUUACUGCGAAGGGGGGACGGAGAAGGCUAUGUUGGCCGGGCGACGUUUGUCCCGGUUUAAGCGUGUAGGUGUGUGUUCCAGGUAAAUCCGGUUCACUUUAACACUGAGGCGUGAUGACGAGGCACUACGGUGCUGAAGCAACAAAUGCCCUGCUUCCAGGAAAAGCCUCUAAGCAUCAGGUAACAUCAAAUCGUACCCCAAACCGACACAGGUGGUCAGGUAGAGAAUACCAAGGCGCUUGAGAGAACUCGGGUGAAGGAACUAGGCAAAAUGGUGCCGUAACUUCGGGAGAAGGCACGCUGACACGUAGGUGAAGUGAUUUACUCAUGGAGCUGAAGUCAGUCGAAGAUACCAGCUGGCUGCAACUGUUUAUUAAAAACACAGCACUGUGCAAACACGAAAGUGGACGUAUACGGUGUGACGCCUGCCCGGUGCCGGAAGGUUAAUUGAUGGGGUCAGCGCAAGCGAAGCUCCUGAUCGAAGCCCCGGUAAACGGCGGCCGUAACUAUAACGGUCCUAAGGUAGCGAAAUUCCUUGUCGGGUAAGUUCCGACCUGCACGAAUGGCGUAAUGAUGGCCAGGCUGUCUCCACCCGAGACUCAGUGAAAUUGAACUCGCUGUGAAGAUGCAGUGUACCCGCGGCAAGACGGAAAGACCCCGUGAACCUUUACUAUAGCUUGACACUGAACAUUGAGCCUUGAUGUGUAGGAUAGGUGGGAGGCUUUGAAGCGUGGACGCCAGUCUGCGUGGAGCCGACCUUGAAAUACCACCCUUUAAUGUUUGAUGUUCUAACGUGGACCCGUAAUCCGGGUUGCGGACAGUGUCUGGUGGGUAGUUUGACUGGGGCGGUCUCCUCCUAAAGAGUAACGGAGGAGCACGAAGGUUGGCUAAUCCUGGUCGGACAUCAGGAGGUUAGUGCAAUGGCAUAAGCCAGCUUGACUGCGAGCGUGACGGCGCGAGCAGGUGCGAAAGCAGGUCAUAGUGAUCCGGUGGUUCUGAAUGGAAGGGCCAUCGCUCAACGGAUAAAAGGUACUCCGGGGAUAACAGGCUGAUACCGCCCAAGAGUUCAUAUCGACGGCGGUGUUUGGCACCUCGAUGUCGGCUCAUCACAUCCUGGGGCUGAAGUAGGUCCCAAGGGUAUGGCUGUUCGCCAUUUAAAGUGGUACGCGAGCUGGGUUUAGAACGUCGUGAGACAGUUCGGUCCCUAUCUGCCGUGGGCGCUGGAGAACUGAGGGGGGCUGCUCCUAGUACGAGAGGACCGGAGUGGACGCAUCACUGGUGUUCGGGUUGUCAUGCCAAUGGCACUGCCCGGUAGCUAAAUGCGGAAGAGAUAAGUGCUGAAAGCAUCUAAGCACGAAACUUGCCCCGAGAUGAGUUCUCCCUGAGACUUAGAGUCUCCUGAAGGAACGUUGAAGACGACGACGUUGAUAGGCCGGGUGUGUAAGCGCAGCGAUGCGUUGAGCUAACCGGUACUAAUGAACCGUGAGGCUUAACCUUACAACGCCGAAG